CUGACCGAGGUUCCAUGAACGCUGGAACCGGUGAAAGGGAACCACGUUACCGUUCGUCGCCCCGGGCCAUUUAGGCUUCCCUGCUGCUGACCUAUCGAUCUAGAAGAAGGUCAGAAAGCUCAUGUUGACACAAAAGCUCACACCGCGGAAGCAACUCCCCGAACAACCCAAAAACUGAUCGCAGGCCAGUGGAGGGCAGCUGCGCAUGCUCACACCGCAGGGAGCGUCCCGCCCAUUCUGCGCAUGCUCAAAAGCUCCAGGCCUUCUCCUCCCCCUAGACCCCAAAACGCGCAACUCUCAACUGUCACCCGGUGAAAUGGGAGCGUCCUAUCAGUCCCCGCCACCCUACAGGGUAGAUACUCAUCUGACUCGGCAAAUGUUGUCUAUCUGAUGCUUUGCAGGCAGGGAUGCCCCGGGGCAUGGCAUAUUGGCGACAUCAACGGUUGGAUGAACACUGCCGGAAAAUCUGCAGACUGGGAUGUUCCUUCCGUGUUGGGGGGAACGUUUCAGCCGUCAAGGGCAUUCAGCCACUCACCUUCGGGCGUUGCUGGCGAGGCAGCAUUUAUUGCCCAACUCUAAUUGCCCAGAGGGCAGUUCAACAUCAGCCACAUUGCUUUGGGUCUGGAGUCACACGUAGGCUGGACCAGUUGGCAGGCAUUGACUGGGGAUUUGCUUUGACUCCUAUAUAAGAACAGACUGAAAAUGAAAUAAGAAUGGAGUCAAGGAUCUUCGAAGUAGAUGAUAAAAUCAGCUAUGAACAUAUUGAAUGGUGGAGCAGAAUUGAGGGAUCAAAUGGCUUGUCACUCCCUGCUCCUGAUUCGUACUCAUAUGUUUAUAUGA
Long non-coding RNA from Stegostoma tigrinum, 840 nucleotides. RefSeq lists it as uncharacterized. The transcript has 3 exons. Lineage: Eukaryota; Metazoa; Chordata; Chondrichthyes; Orectolobiformes; Stegostomatidae. The record is from RefSeq and is a predicted model, not a curated record.